ACUUGUCUUAACCUGACACUGGUCUUGGGUCAUGAGGGUGGUCUAGCAGGAGGCAGGGUUAGCAGCCAAAACAUAAUCCAUGUUCUUGACUCCCCCGUAGAGAGCCAGCUCCUUGUAAAUGUGGAGGUACUGCAAGAGUCACCUUCAGGCUCCUCCCGGGAAUAGCCAACUGUGGAAAACCACCCUCAGGGACAGGGUAGAGGAAUGCAUAAAAGCCCAGCAGAGCUCUUCCUGGACUAAUUCCUUCCCCCUGCUUGCUGGUUGCCUCAAUCCUGAGGAAGCAUGAUGCUCUCCAAGGUUCUGGUGAUCUCUAUCUUGUGUGCUCUGGGUAUGGCUUUCCCCAGAGUGAACAAAGAACCAAUCCUCUAUGACCCAUUAGGCUCAUCCAUUGAAGAACUACUAAAUUUAGCUAUUGAAAGUGAAGAACGACUGAAUUUAAUCAUUGCCAUGCUAAAGUCAACCAAUAAUCUACCCACACCAAUUGAGAAAGAGGUAAAAGAUAAACGACACAAUGACAAACACAAUGAUUCAACUGCUGACUUUAAGCUCUCUCUGGACUUCAUGUCAUUCACAGAAGAGUAUGACAACAGCACACAGAUUUCUGUAUCUACUCUUGAGGCUGAGACAGUCCCCACCAUUUUCCUGGAAGAAACCACUGAGAUCCCAGGCGGGACCCCCACCUUCACUCGAAAUCUUGACUUUACAGCAGAGUAAAGGUUCCAUUUGCUGAGGCAAUCAUUGCAGUCUCCUCAACGUUCUGAGAAGACUCCAACUUUGAAACAAGCCCACUGGUAGCCUUCUGGAUAGUGUGUCAUUGUAGAAAACAAUGGAAGUCUGAGAUGCUCCCAACAAAGAAGGAAGAGUGCGGAAGAAGUGGCUCUGGAUAGGAUUGAUGUGUCAGGCGUUGCCUUUACCUUGUGUAGACUUAAUAAAUAAAUGUUCAUGGGAAUCAUGUUUUGAGAAUAGUUUUUAUUUUAGAGGGAAAGGAUUGCUUAGCUGUUUUGAUAAAUGCACACACAAUAACUUUAUCUCUCUCUCUGGCACACACUGUCCUGACACAUCUCAGGAUCUAGCGAUUGUAGUGUUCCCACUUGGACAAUCCUCACUAUCUAAAAUGAAAUGGCUUGUGGGCUGGUGAGAUGGCUUUAGAGGGUAAAGGCACAUACCCUGGGUCUGACAGCCCAAGUUCAUUCCCUAGAACCCACAUGGUGGAGGGGAGAAAUGACUCCCACAAGUUCUCUUCUGACUUCCUCACCAAUAAAAAUAUAUUUAAUGUCAACUGAUUUACAACUCCA
This 1295-nucleotide long non-coding RNA is filed under the name Cricetulus griseus (Chinese hamster). RNAcentral's name for it is "lncRNA (ENSCGRG00015032885.1)". Lineage: Eukaryota; Metazoa; Chordata; Mammalia; Rodentia; Cricetidae. The record is from RNAcentral.